This 378-nucleotide unclassified non-coding RNA is filed under the name plant metagenome. RNAcentral's name for it is "partial contains 5.8S ribosomal RNA, internal transcribed spacer 2, and large subunit ribosomal RNA". The stretch from base 1 to 105 matches the Rfam family "5.8S ribosomal RNA", at positions 50 to 154 of the family's 154-position model. The record is from RNAcentral.
GAAAUGCGAUAAGUAAUGUGAAUUGCAGAAUUCAGUGAAUCAUCGAAUCUUUGAACGCACCUUGCGCUCCUUGGUAUUCCUUGGAGCAUGCCUGUUUGAGUAUCAUGAAAUCUUCAAAGUAAAUCUUUUGUUAACUCAAUUGGUUUCUACUUUGGUAUAGGAGGUCUUUGCAGCUUCACACCUGCUCCUCUUUGUUCAUUAGCUGGAUCUCAGUGUUAUGCUUGGUUCCACUCGGCGUGAUAAGUUAUCUAUCGCUGAGGACACUGUAAAAGGUGGCCAAGGUAAAUGCAGAUGAACCGCUUCUAAUAGUCCAUUGACUUGGACAAUACUUUUAUGAUCUGAUCUCAAAUCAGGUAGGACUACCCGCUGAACUUAAGC